Molecule: long non-coding RNA, 831 nt
Organism: Helianthus annuus (common sunflower)
Lineage: Eukaryota; Viridiplantae; Streptophyta; Magnoliopsida; Asterales; Asteraceae
Exons: 2
Source: RefSeq, a predicted model, not a curated record
AAAGCUUACACCCAUUUGUAGUAAACGUAUGUAUUUUAUAGAUGAUAAAUGUGACAACCGAUUACAUUCGAAAUUGAAGUUCCGACACUAAGCAAUAUGAGUCGGAACGAAUAAAAGUGAUCAAAACCAUGGUUAAUGGUAAAAUGGACAAAAGGGUAAUUUAGUCGUGAAUCGACUAAGAAUUUAUAAGAUUUCUUUAAGGUUACCUUAUAGCGAAACUAGUAAUGGGAAAAAGGGUAAAUUAGUCACAUGUUGACUAUAUGUAAGUUGGGAUUAAAAAGGAUACCCAUGGUGUAAGCCAUAACGAGUUAGAUACGUAAGAAGAAUGAUCUUGUAGUUAAAACUUGAAAUGGGUCGGAUGUGUGAAUGGGAUAUUAAAAGCCAUGAUUUGACAUAAGUAUAAAUGUUUGGUCAUAAAUACCAAAUGGGUCAAAUGGUGGUGAUGACACUAUUUGACAAUAUCGACUAAUGUUUGGUUGUUAAGUUAAAUGUUCGCAGGAGUGAACGGGAAGUGGAUUAUUGCGUUGCUAUAAAGUAGCGGCUAAUAAAAGAAAGGUACAAAACGGGUCUAUAUGUUGACUCGAGCCAGGUGAAUGCCAAGAGUGCCCGGAUGAAGAUCAAGCUCGAUGAGGAACCGAACACAAUAAAAUCUAACACUCGGGAUUAAAGCUUCCGCACGGCGUUACGCCAUAUCUUUUAAACAACGAACUUAUCUAUAUUAUGUUGAAAACUUUUAAGUUGUAAAAGUUUUAGAUUACUUGUAUUUUCUAAGAAUACUUAAUCGAAAUUUCAUGUUUAUUUUCGUUAUUUAUACGAAAACUUUAAAAAUUA